GCACAACUCUGAUCGGUGGAUCACUCGGCUCGUGUGUCGAUGAAGAGCGCAGCCAACUGUGUGAAUUAAUGUGAACUGCAUAAUGCUUUGAACAUCGACACUUCGAACGCAUCUAGA
This 117-nucleotide ribosomal RNA is filed under the name Digenea gen. sp. RNAcentral describes it as "partial 5.8S ribosomal RNA". It matches the Rfam family "5.8S ribosomal RNA", at positions 1 to 114 of the family's 154-position model. Rfam says of the family: 5.8S ribosomal RNA (5.8S rRNA) is a component of the large subunit of the eukaryotic ribosome. It is transcribed by RNA polymerase I as part of the 45S precursor that also contains 18S and 28S rRNA. The record is from RNAcentral. Lineage: Eukaryota; Metazoa; Platyhelminthes; Trematoda.